UUCUACUCCUCCAUUAACACGCCUAAAAACACCAGUUUUCAUUCCAUCUCCAUCGAUUUCAGCUCAGGUUUGCUGCCAUUGAAAUGGGUGAUGUUGAUUUAAACUGGAUCAAUAUCACCACCGCUCUUCAUCUCGACCAAUCUGGAUUUCAUGCAACUGAAGAUGAUGGUUAACCGGUGAUUAACGAGACUCAGAGUGUAAAAAUUGCAGUUCCAACCUAAUCCGUCAAUCUGAUUUUAAAUCGAUCGAUUUUAUCCAGGUUAGGUUUUAUGUUAAUCAUGUCGACAAAUUUAACCUAAAAUCUGAACGAUGAUAACGAUGAACAUGGUCUAGAAGUGAUUCUGGUGUUGAAGAAAAUCAUGGUCUGUCGAUUUUGUUGAUGAGGCUGGGUUUCAGAAUGUGAAUGAUUCAGCGUCUGCAUUUGAGAAACCAUCGUUCUUAUCUGCAUCGAUCUCGUGGAAUCUGCAGAGAGGUGAAGGGAAUCCAUUGACAUUUGCACUGAUUUACCUCAGUUCAACUCUUCCAAGUUAUACAGGUUUGGGAAUUUGAUGAGGCUCAUCAGCGGUGACUACAGGUUGCAGAGUUGGCACUGGCGGGAGACAAGGGUGAUCAAGUUUAUUCUGUUGCUUGGGCACCCAAUGUUGACAGGCCAUGUGAGAUAGUAGCUGUUGCUACUCACAAGGGAAUUGCUAUGCGGCAUCUAGCGUUCUGUUAAGAAGGAGAUGAGCUGAUGGAAAUCUGUGUUUAUGGAAUUGGAGAUACAAAUGGAUGUGUGGCUGUUGCAGGUGUUUGGUCUGAACUGCAAUUAUCUGUUUGAAUGGAGAAGAUGGGUCUGUUGCGGUUGGUGUUGGCCUGAGUAUUAUAGAUGAAUGUUAGGAUUCAGGUACAAAUUCUAGGUGACAGAGAAGUGGUUUGAUGGGUUUGAAGGUGCUGGGACUGAGACUUUGAAGCCAUGAUUUGGGUGAAGGUUUCUUUAUCUCAGGUGUUGGUGGUAGUUGCAAUAGAACCAUGUGUGUGAAGUUGUUGUCUGCUGGUUUCGAACGGCAAUUCAAGAUGACGGGAGUGAAAGUUUGAGAUAAUUUUGAUGUUGGUUGAGCCCCGGAGGUGAUGCUGCUGUUAAACUAAAGAUGGAAGAAUGACUGUUUUGGUGUUGAUUGAACUGUGUUAAAUGAAUGAUAUUGCAGGGGAAGUACGGCUGAAGUACUGGUUGGAGAUUGAUGUUUGGUGAUGAGAUGACAGUUCUGGUGAUGUUGUUGCUUUGAGCUCAGCAGCAGUGACUGUUCCAGAAUCUCGACUCUUUCAUAGCGGCCGGAACAGUCAGUUGUUCACUACUUUUCUACUU
Molecule: long non-coding RNA, 1342 nt
Organism: Papaver somniferum (opium poppy)
Lineage: Eukaryota; Viridiplantae; Streptophyta; Magnoliopsida; Ranunculales; Papaveraceae
Exons: 5
Source: RefSeq, a predicted model, not a curated record